CCUACGGGAGGCAGCAGUAAGGAAUAUUGGUCAAUGGACGCAAGUCUGAACCAGCCAUGCCGCGUGAAGGAUUAAGGCCCUCUGGGUUGUAAACUUCUUUUAUAGGGGACGAAAAAAGGGCAUUCUUGUUCACUUGACGGUACCCUAGGAAUAAGCACCGGCUAACUCCGUGCCAGCAGCCGCGGUAAUACGGAGGGUGCAAGCGUUAUCCGGAUUUACUGGGUUUAAAGGGUGCGUAGGUGGGUUGGUAAGUCAGUGGUGAAAUCUUCGAGCUUAACUCGGAAACUGCCAUUGAUACUAUCAAUCUUGAAUCAUCUAGAGGUAAGCGGAAUAUGUCAUGUAGCGGUGAAAUGCUUAGAUAUGACAUAGAACACCAAUUGCGAAGGCAGCUUACUAUGGAUAUAUUGACACUGAGGCACGAAAGCGUGGGGAUCAAACAGGAUUAGAUACCCUGGUAGUCCACGCCCUAAACGAUGGAUACUCGACAUUUGUGAUAUACUAUAAGUGUCUGAGCGAAAGCAUUAAGUAUCCCACCUGGGAAGUACGACCGCAAGGUUGAAACUCAAAUGAAUUGACGG
This 578-nucleotide ribosomal RNA is filed under the name uncultured bacterium. RNAcentral describes it as "bacterial SSU rRNA". It matches the Rfam family "Bacterial small subunit ribosomal RNA", at positions 338 to 916 of the family's 1533-position model. The record is from RNAcentral.